This 34-nucleotide transfer RNA is filed under the name Urocolius macrourus. RNAcentral's name for it is "partial tRNA-Phe". Lineage: Eukaryota; Metazoa; Chordata; Aves; Coliiformes; Coliidae. The record is from RNAcentral.
GAUGUUAAGAUGUUGCUCACCACACCCAAAGACA